AAAGGAUGUUUCCCUGCCUUUUUGAAGAUAAUGACCACUCAUCUGAGUGCACAGUUCACAGAAUCCCUUUGCAGUGGCCCAUGUGGGCCAAGGUAGUAGAGCAUAAUAGAUCUCUAGAAGGCCACUAGAAACAGCAGGUGAUGGCCCCAGCUCCUGUCCCUCCAUGCAUAACAUCUGUCAACACCUGUGGACAUCU
Molecule: long non-coding RNA, 196 nt
Organism: Mustela erminea (ermine)
Lineage: Eukaryota; Metazoa; Chordata; Mammalia; Carnivora; Mustelidae
Exons: 3
Source: RefSeq, a predicted model, not a curated record